Molecule: long non-coding RNA, 1897 nt
Organism: Sapajus apella (tufted capuchin)
Lineage: Eukaryota; Metazoa; Chordata; Mammalia; Primates; Cebidae
Exons: 2
Source: RefSeq, a predicted model, not a curated record
GGCGGCGGGGCGAGGGGUGAGGCCCAGCUCCUCGAGACCCCGCGCCGCGGCGAAGCCUCCCCGGCGCCCGCGCGCGGUUACUUGGCUGCGUGCACGCCCCUGGCACAGCGGCUUAUACUGAGGCCCAGGAUCAGCCCGCGAAAUGUGGACCCGGUCCUGCACGCGGGGUGAUAGGUGAGGGUGUCGGGUGAACUUGAGUAGAGAACAGCAAGUGGAUGGGAAAGAACUUGACAACACAAAACUCAUUUACUAAUGGACUGGUUUUGGGUUUCUCUUCUCUGAGUCCGCAAAUCUCUCUGCCUGGGCCCCAGGCCUAUUCAGACCUCGCGGGGAGCGGCGUCCCCCAGGAGCAGGUGGGCUGCUGCUCCGGCGCCACGCCGGUCUUCGGAGCCGGAGUUCCCAAGGGUCGAGAAUUUUGGCACUUCAGCCCGGACUUGGGGAGUCUCCGCACUGCCCCAGAGCGAUGACACUAAUUUAUUGAAGAAACACCUCUCUAUGCCCUCCCCUUCCAAAUAUUUGUAGGUAGAAUAGGAUCCUCACCGUCGUUUUGGAUGGUGAAAGAAUACCAAGAAAGCGGCCAGGGAGCCCCCAAGUAUCUUGCUCCAAGCCAGAAGGGAAACAACAGGGUCCCAGCUAGGGGUGUUUGCAUCAAGGCCUAUGUCAACCCAGCCUAGAAACCCUAGCAACUGCUAAUGCUAUCCCAUUGAAUGCUUUUUCAUCGGCUAAUUAUACGCACACGGCCAUUACCUGCGCAGAGGAGGCACUGAAGAGCCAAAACCCAGCAUCGGCCGCUCCUUGCCAGGGGUGUUCCCUCCCGAGCCGCUCAAGGGUAGCAGCCGGCUGGCUAGAGUUACUUGUUACCUUUAAAUUUCCAACGUAUCUCUGCUUUUCGUGCGAUUUGCAUUGACAGCAAAGGUUUUAUGUUAGCAGAACAACUCAAACCUUUCUGUGUGCGAUUUAAAAUGGAUCAUUUGGUUUAGGUGGUUUGUGAAUUCAUAUCAUUUUACCUCUUUUAGUGGUUUUCAGUGGGAGGUUCCAUUUUGGGAAACCUUAUAUAUCCGAGCCAAUAAUUAACAUUUAUAACAAUUGGUUCCCCUAACCAAGGAAUCGAAAUAGCAGGUAGGCUCCUUGGUAUAAAGUGCAUAGCACUUUCCCUUUCCAGUUACGUGAUCUAUUGGAUUAAGCGGGAGGAAAAAAUGUCGGCGGGCCGAGUCACGGCCUCCGAGGAAGAGCACCUCUUCUCUUCUACCGGAUUCCCGCAAUCACAGCUUCUACACGUGGUCUUCCCAGUUGAUGCCGAUGUCUAGUACGUCCUGGUUCCUUUUGAAGACAGAUAAAAAGAAGUGGGUAGGGAGGUCUGGAGGAAGGGUAGGGGGGGAAAGGUGGUCCUAUUCGUGUCUAAUUGCCAUCUCUCUGCUCUCUGUCAUCCUCUGUAAAUUUAUACCUGCCCUUGUUUGUCCAGGCUAUGCCUCAUUUCCUUAUACAAAAUUGUUAAUUACAAAGCACACCCCACACUCAACAUACUGUUUGUCUUUUAAGAGACGUGAUUGUGCUUAAAGACCCUCCCCCACUGUAAUUGUGUGCACUUGCUCCAGUCUUUAGGGUAUUAACUGUAUUAACUGAUUUUUAGAGACGGGUUUAAGCCUCCGUUCCGGUCCUCACACAGCUGCCAUGUCAAUAAGGACUGUUCCAAGCAGAGACAUUCCUUCUGGGAGGACACUGCAGCUCCUUAAGACCUCAUGUGAAACAUCAUAAGCACUAAAAUAAGACAGUGAGGGAAAAUUACCAGCCACAUGGCUCUGGGCUUAGCAGUGCCAGGCUUCCAGUUUAGAAAGUCACUGGGCAAACUAUAUGGCAGAGGCUCUUUAGAAAGAAUGCACACCCAUUAAAUGCAUUU